Xyrauchen texanus (razorback sucker) is the source of this 2086-nucleotide long non-coding RNA. RefSeq lists it as uncharacterized. The record is from RefSeq and is a predicted model, not a curated record. The transcript is spliced from 4 exons. Lineage: Eukaryota; Metazoa; Chordata; Actinopteri; Cypriniformes; Catostomidae.
UGAAAAAGUAUUUCAGGAAGGGUCUCAGCUGAUGGCCGCACACGGCUACCACUGGGCCUACCAACAGUGUAGGAAAAAGUAAAAAAAAAAAAACUUAAAAUUUACUACAGAACCAUCAAGUAAAAGUGGAAGUGGUUCGACCAAAUGGAUGCUAUCUAGACCGGUGAGCAAUGGGAGAGUGCCCUGGACUCCUGGUACGUUUAGUUAAGUUAACUCUAUACUCAGCUUGAAAGCUUCACUUUAUUUAGUUGACCAGCUACUGGAGAGCUUGCUUCUAAAACAACCAGGCCAAUGUAACUGUUCCACUUGAUAUCACCAUGCAACAACUGCUUUAUGCAGCACAAUGAGCUAGUAGCUAACAGCUAGCGAUUGUGUUAUUGUUUAUGGUCAGAAAUGUUUGUGUCACGUUUAAGAUGAUGUCUCAGCAGUAAAUGAUGUGACGAUCAGCCUAUAAUCCCACCCACGUUGAGGUAGCACUAAACUGCAGUGGAAAAGGAAACUCAGAAAAGUAAUGCGAGUACAGUCUAGUUGAACCAGUCGUAACGUGCAGUGGAAAAGUGCCAUGUGGUACCAAGUAAUCAGAGGGAAUGUUUUGUAUAUAGGGCACACCAGUGGAUUGACCAACUUUGGCAAGAUUGUUAAAUUAUAAUUGUGAAUAACAAAGUGUCAUUCAUCGUCAAACCCUUGAAAGCCUGGUACAGUUAUGAGAUGACGAGUAAUUGCACUUCUGAACUGCAAGUUAUGGAACCCUGUGAGCUUAAUGGAUAUCAUCCACUUGAUCCAUACGUAGAAGCUGGCAAGCUAAACAUCACGUCAAAAACCUUCUUGCUUCACUAAGAACAUUCAAAAAUUUAGACUUGAUCCUGUUCCAGAUUCAGUUGAUGGCUUCAAGCUUGAACUUAAAAGCAGGCUCCAGCAGAAAGACCCUUUUGACUUCCAUGAUUUCUGUAACCUUACACGUGUAGCUGAUCUGCCCAAAGACAAGGAGAGCAAGAGGAAACAGAGCAAAUAGCUGUGGAGAUGAGUAAGAGGACUCCUGACAUCACCUUUGUUGAUGCUGCUAUGAGCAGCACGCAUUCUUAGAGAAGACAAGAAGUUUUUGAGGAGGAGCCACCAGUGUCGCAAAUGAAAGAGCGAUGGCCAGCACUUUCACAGAGAGACAGAUCAGCAAGAAAUUCACCAGGCUUGUGUCAAAGGACUUGAACAAGUCCAUAUUUGAAGGCCUAGAUGGUCAUCUCCUAAAACUGUUCCAAAUACUAAUACAAUUAUUGAGGUCAAAGUGUUGAGGUCAAAGCGUCCAGAAUUUUCUUCUAUGGAAAACAAAACUAAUGAUAGUGACAUAUAUCUUUUCAUACAAUGGCAGUUAAUAGUAACUCACUUCACAGAGUAAGUGUCUAAAAGUAACCCAUACGACUUGUAUGUCAUAUUCCAAGACUUCUGAAAUCAUACAAAAGAUUUUUUUGUUUUAGUGGUUUGAUUGAGUGAACCACACUUUUAUAUCCAGUUUCCUUUUCAAAAGAGUUUAUACAAAGUACAUGUUACAUCCUGCUUAAAUGUCCCUGUUUGUUUGGACAAUCUUAUUUUUGUGAAAAUGUGUAUGUUCUUAUUUAUUGUUCUAUUUUAUUUAGGUGUAAUAUUGAGAAAAUAACAAGUUUGCAGUAAUGCCAAGAUAUUAUUUAAUUUUGUAAAAUAUUUUAAUUUGAAAACACUGUAUAUUUAUAGUUGUUGUUGUUGUUGCUAGUUUGUAUGUUUGAGUUGAAAAAAAAAAUUUCUGCAUUAUCAGUAAUCUAUUUGUGCAUUUUCCUUGAUAACCAAGCAAGUUGACGCAUGAUACCAUUUGUUUAUUAUAUUGCAAUCACAUAUCACAAUAUUAACCUCAAUAAUCGCAAUAUGACUUUUGUAUCGUGCAGCCCGAUUGCAUACCAAAUAUUACAUUCUUUCAUGAAUAUUGUACGUGUAUGUAACAAAACAUGAAAUUUCCUGGUUACAAAAUCAUAUUGGUUUUACACAUCAUUGCAUUUUAUCAAGUUAAGCCUUAUAGUUACCAUUCUUAGUGGUAUCAUACAAAAUUUUUAAUUAUAUAUAU